UGGGGAAUUUUGCGCAAUGGGCGAAAGCCUGACGCAGCAACGCCGCGUGAGUGAUGAAGGCUUUCGGGUCGUAAAGCUCUGUCAAGGGGAAAGAAGUGUAUUGCGGUUAAUACCCGCGAUACUUGACGGUACCCCUAAAGGAAGCACCGGCUAACUCCGUG
This 161-nucleotide ribosomal RNA is filed under the name uncultured bacterium. RNAcentral describes it as "partial 16S ribosomal RNA". It matches the Rfam family "Bacterial small subunit ribosomal RNA", at positions 355 to 507 of the family's 1533-position model. The record is from RNAcentral.